GACGAACGCUGGCGGCGUGCCUAAUACAUGCAAGUAGAACGCUGAAGAGAGGAUCUUGCUCGGCUUGGAUGAGGUGCGAACGGGUGAGUACCGCGUAGGUAACCUGCCUUGUAGCGGGGGAUAACUAUUGGAAACGAUAGCUAAUACCGCAUAACAAUGGAUGACACAUGUCAUUUAUGUGAAAGGGGCAAUUGCUCCACUACAAGAUGGACCUGCGUUGUAUUAGCUAGUAGGUGAGGUAACGGACCAACUAGGCGACGAUACAGAGCCUGCCUGAGAGGGUGGUCCGCCAACCCGGGACUUGGACACGGCCCCGACUCCUACCGGAGGCAGCCGUAGGGGAUCUUUGGCCAUUGGGGCAACGCUGACCGAGCAACGCCGCGUGAGGUAAGAAGGUUUUCGGAUCGUAAAGGUCUGUUGUAAGUCAAGAACGAGUGGGAGAGUGGAAAGUUCACACUGUGACGGUAGCUUAACAGAAAGGGACGGCUAACUACGUG
This 497-nucleotide ribosomal RNA is filed under the name uncultured bacterium. RNAcentral's name for it is "partial 16S ribosomal RNA". It matches the Rfam family "Bacterial small subunit ribosomal RNA", at positions 28 to 507 of the family's 1533-position model. The record is from RNAcentral.